This 299-nucleotide ribosomal RNA is filed under the name Colletotrichum karsti. RNAcentral's name for it is "partial 28S ribosomal RNA". It matches the Rfam family "Eukaryotic large subunit ribosomal RNA", at positions 24 to 327 of the family's 3401-position model. Lineage: Eukaryota; Fungi; Ascomycota; Sordariomycetes; Glomerellales; Glomerellaceae. The record is from RNAcentral.
CCCGCUGAACUUAAGCAUAUCAAUAAGCGGAGGAAAAGAAACCAACAGGGAUUGCCCCAGUAACGGCGAGUGAAGCGGCAACAGCUCAAAUUUGAAAUCUGGCCCCAGGCCCGAGUUGUAAUUUGCAGAGGAUGCUUUUGGCGCGGUGCCUUCCGAGUUCCCUGGAACGGGACGCCAUAGAGGGUGAGAGCCCCGUACGGUUGGACACCAAGUCUUUGUAAAGCUCCUUCGACGAGUCGAGUAGUUUGGGAAUGCUGCUCAAAAUGGGAGGUAUAUUUCUUCUAAAGCUAAAUAUUGGC